UUUUUCUUCUAUUUUUUUAUAUCUAAGAUAGAGCUUUGGAUAAAGCACUAAUAAAGGCCACUGAUUAUUUAUUUUGUAUCUCUAUAUAUGAUAGCAUUUUUCAAAGAGUGCUAUCAUAGUCUCAGAAUUAAUUUUUUAUUUUUUUAUUUUCCUCCUAUAAUAGCACUUUUUGAGAAAGAGCUAUUAUAUAUCCAAAUAAUUUGUAUCCUAUUACAGCUACAAUAGCUCUCGUAACAAACGUUAUUAAAUGUGCGAUAUUGUAGGUCAC
This 268-nucleotide long non-coding RNA is filed under the name Lathyrus oleraceus (garden pea). RNAcentral describes it as "Pisum sativum (pea) long non-coding RNA (PSAT_LNC019692)". Lineage: Eukaryota; Viridiplantae; Streptophyta; Magnoliopsida; Fabales; Fabaceae. The record is from RNAcentral.